GCAGUCGAGCGGACGGAUGGGAGCUUGCUCCCUGAAGUCAGCGGCGGACGGGUGAGUAACACGUGGGCAACCUGCCUGUAAGACUGGGAUAACUUCGGGAAACCGGAGCUAAUACCGGAUAAUGCACAGCCUCUCAUGAGGCUAUGCUGAAAGAUGGUUUCGGCUAUCACUUACAGAUGGGCCCGCGGCGCAUUAGCUAGUUGGUGAGGUAACGGCUCACCAAGGCAACGAUGCGUAGCCGACCUGAGAGGGUGAUCGGCCACACUGGGACUGAGACACGGCCCAGACUCCUACGGGAGGCAGCAGUAGGGAAUCUUCCGCAAUGGACGAAAGUCUGACGGAGCAACGCCGCGUGAGUGAUGAAGGUUUUCGGAUCGUAAAACUCUGUUGUCAGGGAAGAACAAGUGCCGGAGUAACUGCCGGCACCUUGACGGUACCUGACCAGAAAGCCACGGCUAACUACGUGCCAGCAGCCGCGGUAAUACGUAGGUGGCAAGCGUUGUCCGGAAUUAUUGGGCGUAAAGCGCGCGCAGGCGGUCUCUUAAGUCUGAUGUGAAAGCCCACGGCUCAACCGUGGAGGGUCAUUGGAAACUG
This 594-nucleotide ribosomal RNA is filed under the name Bacillus sp. (in: firmicutes). RNAcentral's name for it is "bacterial SSU rRNA". It matches the Rfam family "Bacterial small subunit ribosomal RNA", at positions 57 to 635 of the family's 1533-position model. The record is from RNAcentral. Lineage: Bacteria; Bacillati; Bacillota; Bacilli; Caryophanales; Bacillaceae.